This 30-nucleotide non-coding RNA is filed under the name Rattus norvegicus (Norway rat). The record is from RNAcentral. Lineage: Eukaryota; Metazoa; Chordata; Mammalia; Rodentia; Muridae.
UGCCUAGAAUGUCUCCAGUAUCUCCCGCUC